UGUCCAGUAGCACCUUAGAGACCAACUAAGUUUGUUCUUGGUAUAAGCUUUCGUGUGCAUGCACUAGAACAAACUUAGUUGGUCUAUAAAGUGCUACUGGACA
Podarcis lilfordi (Lilford's wall lizard) is the source of this 103-nucleotide non-coding RNA. NCBI's taxonomy places the organism in Eukaryota, Metazoa, Chordata, Lepidosauria, Squamata, Lacertidae. The record is from the annotation of a GenBank genome assembly.